CCCAAGAGGAAGACCUUCUUCCUUUCUUUUUCUCACACCAUAAAAAAAGCUUUUUCAUAUUUUGACGCUCAAAAAUCAGCAGCUUUCUCACAUUGAAGGGGCUCUUUAAAUAGGCGUGGAUUAGGGCCAACAGGUGUUUAGAGGGGCAUCAACUCUUAGAUGCCUUCCACCUUCUUUUAUGGUGUGUAAGAAAAAAAGGAUCCCACAGCUUUACUA
This 216-nucleotide long non-coding RNA is filed under the name Elaeis guineensis (African oil palm). RNAcentral describes it as "long non-coding RNA (EGUI_LNC048354)". The record is from RNAcentral. Lineage: Eukaryota; Viridiplantae; Streptophyta; Magnoliopsida; Arecales; Arecaceae.